RNAcentral lists this ribosomal RNA (409 nucleotides) under uncultured microorganism. RNAcentral's name for it is "bacterial SSU rRNA". It matches the Rfam family "Bacterial small subunit ribosomal RNA", at positions 509 to 917 of the family's 1533-position model. The record is from RNAcentral.
CAGCCGCCGCGGUAAUACGUAGGGGGCGAGCGUUGUCCGGAAUUACUGGGCGUAAAGGGCGUGUAGGCGGCCUGUUAAGUCAGGGGUGAAAGACCGGGGCUCAACCCCGGGGGUGCCUCUGAAACUGGCGGGCUUGAGUGCUCUAGAGGGCAGUGGAAUUCCCGGUGUAGCAGUGAAAUGCGUAGAGAUCGGGAGGAACACCAGUGGCGAAGGCGGCUGCCUGGGGAGUCACUGACGCUGAGGCGCGAAAGCUAGGGGAGCAAACAGGAUUAGAUACCCUGGUAGUCCUAGCCGUAAACGAUGAGCGCUAUGUGUGAGGGGUAUCGACCCCCUCGUGCAGUAGCUAACGCACUAAGCGCUCCGCCUGGGGAGUAAGGCCGCAAGGUUGAAACUUAAAGGAAUUGGCGGG